Hordeum vulgare subsp. vulgare (domesticated barley) is the source of this 136-nucleotide non-coding RNA. Lineage: Eukaryota; Viridiplantae; Streptophyta; Magnoliopsida; Poales; Poaceae. The record is from Rfam.
AUACUACUCCCUCCGUUCCAAAAUUCUUGUCUUACAUUUGUCUAUAUAUAAAUGUAUCUAGUCACGUUUUAUUAGUUGAAUACAUUCAUUUUUAAACAAAUAUAAGACAAGAAUUUUAGGACGGAGGGAGUAUGUA